Molecule: long non-coding RNA, 740 nt
Filed under: Anser brachyrhynchus (Pink-footed goose)
Lineage: Eukaryota; Metazoa; Chordata; Aves; Anseriformes; Anatidae
Description: lncRNA (ENSABRG00000010790.1)
Source: RNAcentral
AAAGGAAGUUCCUUGUUCCUGUGGCUGCCAUUGAGCAGACAUCUGAUCCUCGCUGCAGGUAUGACUGGGAUGGUUUCCCUACCUUGGAGGAGAACAACCAGGGAAAGGCAGCACCAGAGCCCUCCUUUCACCUCAUCUCUCAUCCCAGGUACAAUGCUGACUGGGAGUCAAGUGCUAAAAUAUUACAACUGUAUGAGAGGCCAGUGUGUAACUGGGUGAGUAAUGCACUGUCACGUAUUACUGGGGAUCAGCUGUACACACUAAGGACGACAGAGCGGAGAGAAGAAAGCACACUCACAGCACAGUUCGGUGUCAAGGGAUCUACAGAGGUCAUCUGGUUCAGGUCCUUGCUCAAAGCAAGGGCAGCUCACAGUCAGAGCACCUUGCUCAGGGCUGCGUCCCAUCAAGUUUUGGAACAGAGAUUUUAAAACCUCUAAGGGCAGCCUGUUCCAGUGCUUGACCAUUGUGUUGAUGGAAAAGUUGUUUCCUUGUAUCUUGCCAUGAUUUCCUUUGAGACAGCUUGUGAGCAUUCUCAUACCAUUGCUGUUCCUCUCUGAGAAGAGUCCAGCUUUGAGGGAGCAUCCAGAUUCCUGUUGUGCCAGGGAAUAUAAGAGAAUCCCAGCUGAACAGUCCCCCUCUACCUACACUGUGUUGUGGCUGGGGAAAUGCUGUCUCCUGAAGGGGUUUUGUUAGUGCAUGGAAAGAACACUGCAGAAAUGAAGGUAGGUGCAAAUCCCAGA